RNAcentral lists this long non-coding RNA (235 nucleotides) under Setaria italica (foxtail millet). Its description in RNAcentral is "long non-coding RNA (SITA_LNC002811)". The record is from RNAcentral. Lineage: Eukaryota; Viridiplantae; Streptophyta; Magnoliopsida; Poales; Poaceae.
CCACGCCCGUGCCGUCCUGCUGUGCCGCCGCCUCCCGUUCUUCCGCCCACUAUCCGCCGCCACCUGCACCUCCGGCGGCUGACAGUGCGCGCGCCCCAGCUCGCGGUUCCGCUCGCCGCGCUUCAACCUCGAGGAUGAAGAGUGUGAGAUUCAAUGGAAUGGCUUGACCCAUAGGGCGCCGGGUAGAUUCAUUAUAGAGGCCGGGAGAACCAGCGCAAUAGUACAAGGAAAGGAC